Molecule: ribosomal RNA, 206 nt
Filed under: uncultured bacterium
Lineage: Bacteria
Description: partial 16S ribosomal RNA
Rfam family: Bacterial small subunit ribosomal RNA
Source: RNAcentral
UGCGUAGGUGGUUUCUUAAGUCAGAGGUGAAAGGCUACGGCUCAACCGUAGUAAGCCUUUGAAACUGGGAAACUUGAGUGCAGGAGAGGAGAGUGGAAUUCCUAGUGUAGCGGUGAAAUGCGUAGAUAUUAGGAGGAACACCAGUUGCGAAGGCGGCUCUCUGGGCCGUCACUGACGCUGAGGAGCGAAAGCGUGGGGAGCGAACA